RNAcentral lists this ribosomal RNA (551 nucleotides) under uncultured bacterium. RNAcentral describes it as "bacterial SSU rRNA". It matches the Rfam family "Bacterial small subunit ribosomal RNA", at positions 28 to 581 of the family's 1533-position model. The record is from RNAcentral.
AUUGAACGCUGGCGGCAUGCCUAACACAUGCAAGUCGAACGGGUUGUACUUCGGUACAGCUAGUGGCGGACGGGUGAGUAACACAUAGGAAUCUGCCCGAGAGUGGGGGAUAACCCAGGGAAACUUGGAUUAAUACCGCAUGAUCUCUACGGAGCAAAGCUGGGGACCUUCGGGCCUGGCGCUUUUGGAGGAGCCUAUGUCUGAUUAGCUUGUUGGUGAGGUAACGGCUCACCAAGGCGACGAUCAGUAACUGGUCUGAGAGGACGACCAGUCACACCGGAACUGAGACACGGUCCGGACUCCUACGGGAGGCAGCAGUGGGGAAUAUUGGACAAUGGGCGAAAGCCUGAUCCAGCAAUGCCGCGUGUGUGAAGAAGGCCUUCGGGUUGUAAAGCACUUUAGGAUGGAAGGAAAAAACUUCAGUUAAUAGCUGAAGUCUUGACGGUACCAUCAGAAUAAGCACCGGCUAACUCUGUGCCAGCAGCCGCGGUAAUACAGAGGGUGCAAGCGUUAAUCGGAUUUACUGGGCGUAAAGCGUGUGUAGGUGGUGG